Molecule: ribosomal RNA, 404 nt
Filed under: uncultured bacterium
Lineage: Bacteria
Description: bacterial SSU rRNA
Rfam family: Bacterial small subunit ribosomal RNA
Source: RNAcentral
GGGGGAUAUUGCACAAUGGAGGAAACUCUGAUGCAGCAACGCCGCGUGAGGGAAGAAGGUCUUCGGAUUGUAAACCUCAGUAGUCAGGGACGAAAGAAAUGACGGUACCUGAAGAGUAAGCUCCGGCUAACUACGUGCCAGCAGCCGCGGUAAUACGUAGGGAGCGAGCGUUGUCCGGAUUUACUGGGUGUAAAGGGUGCGUAGGCGGGAUAGCAAGUCAGACGCGAAAUACCGAGGCUUAACUUCGGGGCUGCGUUUGAAACUGUUAUUCUUGAGUGAAGUAGAGGCAGGCGGAAUUCCUAGUGUAGCGGUGAAAUGCGUAGAUAUUAGGAGGAACACCAGUGGCGAAGGCGGCCUGCUGGGCUUUAACUGACGCUGAGGCACGAAAGCAUGGGGAGCAAACA